GACGAACGCUGGCGGCGUGCUUAACACAUGCAAGUCGAACGGAAAGGCCCUGCUUUUGUGGGGUGCUCGAGUGGCGAACGGGUGAGUAACACGUGAGUAACCUGCCCUUGACUUUGGGAUAACUUCAGGAAACUGGGGCUAAUACCGGAUAGGAGCUCCUGCUGCAUGGUGGGGGUUGGAAAGUUUCGGCGGUUGGGGAUGGACUCGCGGCUUAUCAGCUUGUUGGUGGGGUAGUGGCUUACCAAGGCUUUGAGGGGUAGCCGGCCUGGGAGGGUGACCGGCCACAUUGGGACUGAGAUGAGGCCCAGACUCCUACGGGAGGGAGCAGUGGAGUAGAGUGCACAAGGGGCGGAAGGCUGGUGUGACAAAGCCGCGUGGGGGAAGACGGGCUUCGGGUUGGAAACCGCUUUCGCCUGUGACGAAGCGUGAGUGACGGUAAUGGGUAAAGAAGCACCGGCUAACUACGUG
This 468-nucleotide ribosomal RNA is filed under the name uncultured bacterium. RNAcentral's name for it is "partial 16S ribosomal RNA". It matches the Rfam family "Bacterial small subunit ribosomal RNA", at positions 28 to 507 of the family's 1533-position model. The record is from RNAcentral.